UAGCUGGGGGCGUGCUCAUACAUGCAAGUCGAGCGGAUGUAGCAAUACAUCAGCGGCGGACGGGUGAGUAACACGUGGGCAACCUGGCCUUAAGAGGGGGAUAACGUCCCGAAAGGGACGCUAAUACCGCGUAAAUCAACGGAAUCGCAUGAUUUUGUUGGAAAAGGAGAAAUCCGCUUAAGGAUGGGCCCGCGGCCUAUUAGCUAGUUGGUAGGGUAACGGCCUACCAAGGCGACGAUAGGUAGCCGACCUGAGAGGGUGAACGGCCACACUGGAACUGAGAAACGGUCCAGACUCCUACGGGAGGCGGCAGUAGGGAAUAUUCCGCAAUGGGCGAAAGCCUGACGGAGCAACGCCGCGUGAGUGAAGAAGGUUUUCGGAUCGUAAAGCUCUGUCAACAGGGACGAAACAAGACGGUACCUGAGAAGGAAGCCACGGCAAACUACGUGCCAGCAGCCGCGGUAAUACGUAGGUGGCAAGCGUUGUCCGGAAUAACUGGGCGUAAAGCGCAUGUAGACGGCAUGAUAAGCCAAAUGUGAAAUGUAGGGGCUCAACCCCUGCACUGCGAUUGGAACUGUCAAGCUUGAGUGCAGGAGAGGCAAAUGGAAUUCCCAGUGUAGCAGUGAAAUGCGUAGAGAUUGGGAGGAACACCAGUGGCGAAGGCGAUUUGCUGGACUGCAACUGACGUUGAGAUGCGAAAGCCAGGGGAGCAAACGGGAUUAGAUACCCCGGUAGUCCUGGCCGUAAACGAUGGAUACUAGGUGUAGAGGGUAUCGACCCCUUCUGUGCCGCAGCGAACGCAAUAAGUAUCCCGCCUGGGGAGUACGGUCGCAAGACUGAAACUCAAAGGAAUUGACGGGGGCCCGCACAAGCAGUGGAGCAUGUGGUUUAAUUCGACGCAACCCGAAGAACCUUACCAGGUCUUGACAUUUAUGGAACUUAGCAGAGAUGCUUCGGUGCCCUUUCGGGGGAGCCAUAAAACAGGUGGUGCAUGGGUUGUC
RNAcentral lists this ribosomal RNA (1001 nucleotides) under uncultured bacterium. Its description in RNAcentral is "bacterial SSU rRNA". It matches the Rfam family "Bacterial small subunit ribosomal RNA", at positions 33 to 1053 of the family's 1533-position model. The record is from RNAcentral.